Non-coding RNA from Lepisosteus oculatus (spotted gar), 679 nucleotides. The record is from RefSeq and is a predicted model, not a curated record. NCBI's taxonomy places the organism in Eukaryota, Metazoa, Chordata, Actinopteri, Semionotiformes, Lepisosteidae.
UAUAUCUUUUAAGUUUCUAUAAAGCAUGUAAAAUACACACAGUACUGAACAUACUUCACAUACUGUACAGUACAUACUAUGUACAUUAUAAGAUAUAGAAAUAGAAACAACUGGAAGAACUCUGUAGUCAAAACUCACUAUUCCCAUGACGUCUUGGUGUUAGUGUAAUUUACAGAGCAGUCAGAACAAGAAGAAUCUGAAGUAGAAGCGUGAGCAGGACCCAGUUAAAGGCUCAGUUGUUCUCCCAGGACCAGCGCCGCAGGACGUGUCUCCAGCGUGCGGCAGCGGCGCCCGGACCUGCAGGCUGGAGUUAGACCUCGCCGGGAACCCGCGCAGGGAGAGGGUCAAGCUGCCCUCCUCCAUCCGCGGCCGCAAGCCCGGCGGCCUGCCGCACCAGAAGUUCACUGCCGUCGAGGACCCUGUGAGGAGGAAGGUGAGAACAGUGUCAGUGGCCGGCCCUCAGGCCAGUGGCACACUUCAGUGUGUUCGCCGGGGUUUUGAGCUCUUCCCUGCAGAAGUGGACUUCGGGGUGCUGAGAGAGGGGUGCACCUAUUCUGUCUCUGUCGCACUGAGGAAUGUUGGAAUCGAUUCCUGCAGAUUCAGUGUGAAACAGCCACCUCCUGCCACAGGACUGAGAGUUAUAUAUACUCCUGGACCGGUAAGUCUACCUAACAGUUUG